UUGCUAUGAAAGAGACACACUUCCUGGGA
This 29-nucleotide non-coding RNA is filed under the name Macaca fascicularis (crab-eating macaque). The record is from RNAcentral. RNAcentral also lists the same sequence under 1 other name. Lineage: Eukaryota; Metazoa; Chordata; Mammalia; Primates; Cercopithecidae.